This 253-nucleotide ribosomal RNA is filed under the name uncultured bacterium. RNAcentral describes it as "partial 16S ribosomal RNA". It matches the Rfam family "Bacterial small subunit ribosomal RNA", at positions 524 to 776 of the family's 1533-position model. The record is from RNAcentral.
GACGUAGGGCGCGAGCGUUGUCCGGAUUCAUUGGGCGUAAAGAGCUCGUAGGCGGCCUGUCGCGUCGGCUGUGAAAACUCGGGGCUCAACUCCGAGCUUGCAGUCGAUACGGGCAGGCUAGAGUUCGGCAGGGGAGACUGGAAUUCCUGGUGUAGCGGUGAAAUGCGCAGAUAUCAGGAGGAACACCGGUGGCGAAGGCGGGUCUCUGGGCCGAUACUGACACUGAGGAGCGAAAGCGUGGGGAGCGAACAGG